AGCUGGAAUCGCUAGUAAUCGCGGAUCAGAAUGCCGCGGUGAAUACGUUCCCGGGUCUUGUACACACCGCCCGUCACACCAUGGGAGCCGGUAACGCCCGAAGUCAGUGGCCCAACCGAGAGGGGGGAGCUGCCGAAGGCGGGACUGGUAACUGGGGUGAAGUCGUAACAAGGUAAC
RNAcentral lists this ribosomal RNA (177 nucleotides) under uncultured bacterium. Its description in RNAcentral is "partial 16S ribosomal RNA". It matches the Rfam family "Bacterial small subunit ribosomal RNA", at positions 1324 to 1500 of the family's 1533-position model. The record is from RNAcentral.